GAAUAAGAACACGUCUCAUGGCGUUCUUGGAUCAUUGUACAUUCGUCUUUGAUCCAGUUCUCUCAUAUCCAUAACACCUGUGCACUGUUGGAUGCUUGCAUCCACUUUUAAACUAAACAUUAUUGUAACAAAUGUAGUCUUAUUAUAACAUAAUAAAACUUUCAACAACGGAUCUCUUGGCUCU
Molecule: unclassified non-coding RNA, 184 nt
Filed under: rhizosphere metagenome
Description: partial ribosomal RNA internal transcribed spacer region
Source: RNAcentral